UACAGAGACUGCAAGCGUUAUUCGGAUUCACUGGGCGUAAAGGGUGCGCAGGCGGCCGUGUGUGUAAGGUGUGAAAUCCCGGGGCUCAACCCCGGAACUGCGCCUUAAACUACAUGGCUAGAGUACUGGAGAGGGUAGUGGAAUUCACGGUGUAGCAGUGAAAUGCGUAGAUAUCGUGAGGAACACCAGAGGCGAAGGCGACUACCUGGACAGUUACUGACGCUCAGGCACGAAAGCGUGGGGAGCAAAAGGG
Molecule: ribosomal RNA, 253 nt
Filed under: uncultured bacterium
Lineage: Bacteria
Description: partial 16S ribosomal RNA
Rfam family: Bacterial small subunit ribosomal RNA
Source: RNAcentral